UGCAUUCAAAAUAAAGAUCUUUGUUUAAUCAUUUCAAUCUAUAAACAUUUAUCAGCGCCUCAAUUUGUUUGAAAUUCAACUCUAGUACAAAAUGCUGAUACUGAAAGACAGAGACAACCAGAAAAAUAAGGUCCAUCUGUUUCUAUGUCCGAAGGUUCAAGAGGGUGUCAUGUGACCAGCACAUUUUCUUCAACCAAAUUCAAACCCCAUUAGAGUUGGGUGGACGCAAGGUGGUCCUAAAAAAAAUCCUAAAAGUUCAAAAUCCCACUUAAUCAUCCGUCCUUCCCCCCCCCCCCCCCA
This is a non-coding RNA of Biomphalaria pfeifferi, 300 nucleotides long. Lineage: Eukaryota; Metazoa; Mollusca; Gastropoda; Planorbidae. The record is from the annotation of a GenBank genome assembly.